AGUGUUACAACUGUCGCCCUCUCUCUUCCUCACUCUCUCCUCCUCCCCUCUCUUUAAGUUUCCUCCCCCAUUCCUUGACUUAACAUGCUGCUUCAGUCUCACAGUGGAGACACUCAGAGAGCACCACAGAGAGGGACAGCAGCAGCAAACCACAGACAGCACUACUACUAUCCCUCUCUCCACCUCUUCUCUCCACUACUACUAUCCCCCUCUCCACCUCUUCUCUCCACUACUACUAUCCCCCUCUCCACCUCCUCUCCACUACUACUGUCCUCCUCUCCACCUCUUCUCUACUUCUUCUCUCUCUGUGUCUCCCUUGUUCACCUUGUCAGGUCAGUGUGGAUGUGAGAUGGGUUGUGGAUAUUCCUCGACGACCAGCAUGGCUGGAGGAGGUCCAGCUGAAGCCUCCAAAGAAGAAGUCACAGAGGAGUCUGCACAAGAAGAAGAAAAAAGGAUGAACUAUGGAGGUGUGUAUGUGGGACUACCAGCAGACCUGAGCGUUAUGCCUCCUAUCCAGAUGGGAACACACCAAGAUAAGUGAAGCAUCAUUGAAACACCUUUCACUAAAGGUAUGAUGUCAACGGCCCCGAUCUCAAUAUCCUAUGUUAAACUCUCUGCCUCAAUCUCAGAAGUUCAUCUUUUGGGACUCUCACACCCACGACAGACAGACAGACAGACAGACAGACAGACAGACAGACAGACAGACAGACAGACACAGACAGA
This is a long non-coding RNA of Salmo salar (Atlantic salmon), 723 nucleotides long. RefSeq lists it as uncharacterized. NCBI's taxonomy places the organism in Eukaryota, Metazoa, Chordata, Actinopteri, Salmoniformes, Salmonidae. The record is from RefSeq and is a predicted model, not a curated record.